CCUACGGGAGGCUGCAGUGAGGAAUAUUGGUCAAUGGACGAGAGUCUGAACCAGCCAAGUAGCGUGAAGGAUGACUGCCCUAUGGGUUGUAAACUUCUUUUAUAUGGGAAUAAAAUGUUCCACGUGUGGGAUUUUGUAUGUACCAUAUGAAUAAGGAUCGGCUAACUCCGUGCCAGCAGCCGCGGUAAUACGGAGGAUCCGAGCGUUAUCCGGAUUUAUUGGGUGUAAAGGGAGCGUAGGUGGAUUGUUAAGUCAGUUGUGAAAGUUUGCGGCUCAACCGUAAAAUUGCAGUUGAAGCUGGCAGUCUUGAGUACAGUAGAGGUGGGCGGAAUUCGUGGUGUAGCGGUGAAAUGCUUAGAUAUCACGAAGAACUCCGAUGGCGAAGGCAGUUCACUGGACUGCAACUGACACUGAGGCUCGAAAGUGUGGGUAUCAAACAGGAUUAGAUACCCCAGUAGUC
Molecule: ribosomal RNA, 460 nt
Filed under: uncultured bacterium
Lineage: Bacteria
Description: partial 16S ribosomal RNA
Rfam family: Bacterial small subunit ribosomal RNA
Source: RNAcentral